CGGCCCGACUGCGCUUUCUAAGUUCAGAUGCCUCGCUUUCGGGAUUUUGUAAACCCGCGAAUCGCCCCGCUUUGCUUCCGUGGCGGCUGCGCGGCGUCCUGCCACCGCGGCUGUCGGUGGGAUUCCCGUGCGCUCCGGCUGCUGAGGCAAAUGGGGGGAUCCCGCCUUAAUAUCCGAUUUCGUGUUUCUCUUUCAGUGAUCCUGGUGACAGAAUGACACAGUUUUUGUAAGCCCGUGACUGCAUCAGAAGCUCUUCCACUUUUGAUUUGUUUAAAUCAGCCAUAUUUGCCAAGUGUUCAGGGUUGGGCUGGGAAAGCUAGUGCUGUACGUUGCUCAAGGGUGUAGGAGAGGCCAAGCAGGAUACACAGUCGCGGAAAUAUGUUUGUCUUUCCGUAAUGAUUAAACUUUGAUUUAAACUUUGGUCAUGGGCACGUACUGUACCAUUACGCAAGCAGCACUUAAGGAUGAAGUGUCAGCAUAGCAACAAUAUGGCCAGCAGCAGCAGUGAUCUCUGCAAAGCUGAUUGAUGAAGAGAACUGCAAUGUAGAUGCAAAUAAAUGCCACAUCGUGGCACCUUCACAGGGAA
Molecule: long non-coding RNA, 586 nt
Organism: Lepidothrix coronata (blue-crowned manakin)
Lineage: Eukaryota; Metazoa; Chordata; Aves; Passeriformes; Pipridae
Exons: 2
Source: RefSeq, a predicted model, not a curated record